This is a long non-coding RNA of Notolabrus celidotus (New Zealand spotty), 908 nucleotides long. RefSeq lists it as uncharacterized. The record is from RefSeq and is a predicted model, not a curated record. NCBI's taxonomy places the organism in Eukaryota, Metazoa, Chordata, Actinopteri, Labriformes, Labridae. The transcript is spliced from 2 exons.
GAUGAUCUCAGGUCAGGAUGCAGAGAGAGUCUCUUCAUUUAUUCUAUUAUUAGAUUACAAAACUUCAAGUAUUGAGUACUUCCUGUUAACCUGGGUGAUAGGGGGCGGGGUUAAACAAUAAGAUAUGACCUUUCCUUUCUCUGAUGUAAUGUCUAUGGACUGCACUUAUCUAAUAAAGUAGUGGACACAGACAGCCUCUUAACAACACAGUAAGGUGAGUUCACUCUUAAACUUCCUAGUCACAGGUAGUUCUUCAAAUCAGCCUCUAGGUGGCAGUACGUGAACACAAAGAAUCACACAUCAUUUGCCCCACUAUCUGCUCCAUCUAGAGGUCGAAUUCAGUUUUGCACCUGAUUCUGACUGAGAUGAGCUGCCACAUCUCCACUCUGUGCUGUACAGAGCUGAGCUGUGGGCUCUCAUCCUGUAGGUAUACUGUAGGUACAAGUCAUUCCUAUGCUCAGCUAACGUCUGCAAAACCUUCAUUAUGGAGAAACAUGAUUUAAAAAUCCCAACAUCAGUUAGGUGUUUGCUGUCCUUGUAUUAAGAAUUAUGAAUGGAUAAUGAAUUACAAAAAUGAACUCUGCCAUGUUUCAUUCUUUUCUGUCUUCAGAGAAUAAAACUGCUCAUCCACAUCAUUUUCAAACACAUUGGAAAGACGUGAUUACCAUGUGUCGGCUGCCGUGCUCGUUGCUGCGUUCUUACGUUACAGACUGUGGUCUUCUGUUUCAUGUUGUGCAGAUAUGAGUCCUUGUAGUUGCAUAUGCAGCAUGAUGACUGUGUGCUGUUGAUUUUACACCAGGUAGGCACUGUUAAAUAUAUGUUUAUACAUGUUGGAACAUUUAAACCUGUUUAUUGUAAAUUCAUGUAUGUGGUAUAAAACUUAAAUAAAAGACUCCUGUUUGUAUUUA